RNAcentral lists this transfer RNA (77 nucleotides) under Clostridiaceae bacterium. RNAcentral describes it as "tRNA-Pro". It matches the Rfam family "tRNA". From Rfam's summary of the family: Transfer RNA (tRNA) molecules are approximately 80 nucleotides in length. Their secondary structure includes four short double-helical elements and three loops (D, anti-codon, and T loops). The record is from RNAcentral. Lineage: Bacteria; Bacillati; Bacillota; Clostridia; Eubacteriales; Clostridiaceae. RNAcentral also lists the same sequence under 2 other names.
CGGGAUGUAGCGCAGCUUGGUAGCGCGUAUCGUUCGGGACGAUAAAGUCGCAGGUUCAAAUCCUGUCAUCCCGACCA